GACGAACGCUGGCGGCGUGCUUAACACAUGCAAGUCGAGCGGUAAGGCCCUUUCGGGGUACGCGAGCGGCGAACGGGUGAGUAACACGUGGGUGACCUGCCCUCAGCUCUGGGAUAAGCCUGGGAAACCGGGUCUAAUACUGGAUAUGACUCCAUGACGCAUGUUGUGGGGUGGAAAGCCUUGUGCGGCUGAGGAUGGGCCCGCGGCCUAUCAGCUUGUUGGUGGGGUGANGGCCUACCAAGGCGACGACGGGUAGCCGGCCUGAGAGGGCGACCGGCCACACUGGGACUGAGACACGGCCCAGACUCCUACGGGAGGCAGCAGUGGGGGAAUCUUGCGCAAUGGGCGAAAGCCUGACGCAGCGACGCCGCGUGAGGGAUGACGGCCU
This 388-nucleotide ribosomal RNA is filed under the name uncultured bacterium. Its description in RNAcentral is "bacterial SSU rRNA". It matches the Rfam family "Bacterial small subunit ribosomal RNA", at positions 28 to 417 of the family's 1533-position model. The record is from RNAcentral.